UGAUUUGUGGCAAAAAAUGGUGUUUCCUGUUAGACGUGUUUGGGGUGCUGUUUCUGGUCAUGUUGUACAGCCUAAUAAGAAUGGUGCUGGACUAUCGAACCUUCAAGGUGAUAUACAGUCGUGUGGAUAUGAGGAUGUACAGGUGAUGUGGGAAAUGCUUGCAGGAACGGAGUCAGAGUUGACAUCUCGGCACAUUAAGCAUAAGACACCGACCGUUGUUUAGGAAUUUUGUAUGGUUCAACCAUAGUGCUAAAUCAUCUCUCCUCUCCAGAUCACACCCAUUAAGAUGGUAUGCUGCACUGCAUCUAUAAGAGUAUCUGAAGAGUGAAGAGAUGUAUGCCACUGGGUAGAUAUUUCAUAAUAUGGUACAAAGUGUGUGCUGUAUUCCAUAUCUGCAUAUGAAGUAUGUUUAUCAAUAUCGGGACUGUCAUGACGACAGUAUCAGUUGUAAUUAUACCAUCAUCCUGAUGAUGUAUGAAAAACCGGCACUAAAUAAAGAAAUAGAA
Lycium ferocissimum is the source of this 506-nucleotide long non-coding RNA. RefSeq lists it as uncharacterized. The transcript is spliced from 2 exons. The record is from RefSeq and is a predicted model, not a curated record. Lineage: Eukaryota; Viridiplantae; Streptophyta; Magnoliopsida; Solanales; Solanaceae.